AAAUCAUUUGAAGAGCUUGUUAAAAUGCAGAUUCGGAUUUCUCAGGUCUGGAGCAGAGCCUAAGAGUCUACAUUUUUAACAGGCUCUGGAAUAAAACCGUG
This 101-nucleotide microRNA precursor is filed under the name Marmota monax (woodchuck). Lineage: Eukaryota; Metazoa; Chordata; Mammalia; Rodentia; Sciuridae. The record is from RNAcentral.